This 466-nucleotide ribosomal RNA is filed under the name uncultured bacterium. Its description in RNAcentral is "partial 16S ribosomal RNA". It matches the Rfam family "Bacterial small subunit ribosomal RNA", at positions 339 to 795 of the family's 1533-position model. The record is from RNAcentral.
CUACGGGCCGCUCCAGUGGGGAAUAUUGGACAAUGGGGGAAACCCUGAUCCAGCAAUGCCGCGUGUGUGAAGAAGGCCUGCGGGUUGUAAAGCACUUUCGGUUGGGAGGACUGCUUCUAGCACUAAUAUUGUUGGAAGUUGACGUUACCUUCAGAAGAAGCACCGGCUAACUCCGUGCCAGCAGCCGCGGUAAUACGGGAGGGUGCAAGGGUUAAUCGGAAUUACUGGUCGUAAAGCGCGCGUAGGCGGCUAGAUCAGUCGGGUGUGAAAGCCCCGGGCUUAACCUGGGAACUGCAUCCGAUACCGUCUAGCUUGAGUACAGGAGAGGAGAGUGGAAUUCCACAUGUAGCGGUGAAAUGCGUAGAUAUGUGGAGGAACACCAAUGGCGAAGGCAGCUCUCUGGCCUGAUACUGACGCUGAGGUGCGAAAGCGUGGGGAGCAAACAGGAUUAGAUACCCCAGUAGUC